UGGCAAUUCAAAUUUGAGACAUUUAAAUAGGUCAUUAGACUUGUAAAAAAUCUUAGAAGUGAAGUUGAGAGUAUUUUUGAAAAUAAGAAUACUAGUUUGUUCACAAAAAAAGAUUCUAUGAUUCUAAAGCAGUAAUACUUUCUUGCUGAUUUUGAAAGUAUUAGGACUUCUUUCAAUUUUUUUUUUGAUACGUCUCUCCCUUCAACAUGGCUUCAAAUCAGGGUGAAGAAUUGAGAGUAAUUGAAAAAUUUAGAGGUGAAAUUUUUUACCAUUGGAAGAUAAAAAUAGAGCUUUUGUUGACAUCUUUGGAUCUAUGAAAUAUUGUAGAUGAAAGUGAAGAGGCUCCAAGUAUAGAUGCUGAUAUGAAGGAGAAGAAAGAGUUCAAAUGUCGUAUAAAGAAGGCUUUUGAAUUGAUUGUA
RNAcentral lists this long non-coding RNA (419 nucleotides) under Physcomitrium patens. RNAcentral's name for it is "long non-coding RNA (PPAT_LNC008826)". The record is from RNAcentral. Lineage: Eukaryota; Viridiplantae; Streptophyta; Bryopsida; Funariales; Funariaceae.